Molecule: long non-coding RNA, 2599 nt
Filed under: Bemisia tabaci
Lineage: Eukaryota; Metazoa; Arthropoda; Insecta; Hemiptera; Aleyrodidae
Description: lncRNA ENSSSA2NGG004103
Source: RNAcentral
AAUGCAUUCCAAGUUUAUCGAAAGGAGGAGAUGCCGGAGAAGUGGAAUUAUAAGAAGAAUAACAGAACGGCUGAUCUAUUAGCUCUGGCAACUGUUGGCUACGCGUUUCAAGGCAGAAUCAAGUACAUCGAUGAGGACUGGAAAACUCAAUUUUACAAUGUUACUUUGAAGCCAGGGCAGACGUUUGGAGUGCACGGAUAUUCCAAUGAGGAGCCAAGUAUGAGAGCUUUCUUCUUGGCUUGGGGUCCGCUCAUCAAAGAGGACUUCAACCCGGAGCCUUUUGACAAUGUCGAUAUCCAACCUCUCAUUUCGUGUAUGCUGCAACUGCCACCGAUGCCUCAGCACCUCAAGGCAAACGGACACUUGCCAAUGUAGCUUCAAUGCUUCGGAACCCUCCAUCUCAACAUUGCCAACUCAGGAAUCAAGAAAUCGAUGCACAAUGAAAUAAAUUCUUGUAAAACGCGUGUUGUGGUUAUUAUUUUCGACGUUUCGUACGUACUGCAUGGCCUGAACUAAAAACAUUGGAAUACCAUUUUUUCUAGCUGAGCUAUCAAAUAAGGAAAAACUUUGCUGAAUCGAGCUACAGGCCAAAUAAACAACAAAUGCAAGUUGUAGCAUCAUGUGAUUGAAUAUGCUGCAUUCAUUUAUUGUUUUUUUUUUGGCACGUAGCAUCGUUUUUCUUUGCCUAAACUAAAGUAUGUUUGUCAUGUUCAUUCGGUUUGGAUCCUUUUGUCGGAUCCAAAAUAGGGAUCUCCAAUUUCGGUGGAAAUGACUUCCUUAGGUGAAUAAAUAGGAAAACGUUCAAAAUUUGAUACAAAAUUGAGCAAGUUUAUUUUAAACUUAACAACAACAAAGUUUACGCAAACAGAUAGUGAGACAUCGAUUAAAAAAUAUUAAAAGGUGACAAAUAUACUUUUGGCUAAAAUACACCUUGAGAUUCAAGACAAUGAGAUCAAGCGUAAAUAAAGCAUUUGUCUUUUUCAGGAAUAAAAUGUGUGCAGUACGAUAAAACAUUUACAAAUUGACUAUGAGCAUUAGCUCGAGUUUUUUUACAGUAUCUAAAAAAGUGCCGGAGUCAGGCACGGUAUGAAAUCUCUUUCCUAUUUUACGCUGUUACUUUAAAUGAACUAAGGCUCAAGAGGCUUGUGAGCACGCCUAUUAUUGUAAUCUCUUCUAUAAUAAAAAAUCAUCAGAUCAUCGGCAUCUUCAUAAAAAGAAAAGCGGUGCCUAUUCUUCCUCGGCUAGUCAAAAGUCUCAUGAAAGCUGACAGAUAUGAGACGCUUAGCUCACAUUCAUUAUCAUUCAUCGACUGUAUGAGUGAAAACAUUAUUGAACUUAUACCUCUUAAUACUAAUUGACUUUGUAGUAAUUGUAAAAAAUCCAAUCGAGUGGUCUUAAUGCCUUGUCACAGGUAAUGGUUGUAAGUCGAUUGCCGACUCAAACCCUCCGCGAAUAACAUACGAAAGCCACUUGACGUGCAGUUUCUAUUUUUGUGCGCUUAACGCAGCACCUGAACUAACGGCGGAACAUUCGUCUUUGACAGAAGCAGCUCUCUUUCAAAGAGAAAAAAGAGCUAAUACUCGACUGGAUUACAUUUUGCAAUCAGGACUACACUCUCUGGCUCAUUCGGAAAAGCACUCAAGUGCAUAGGGAUAAACUAAAGUUACAUACGUCGUUUCAAAACUAAGCCAGAAAUUGUAGUUCAAAAUUGCAAAAUAUAGUCCAACCAAGCUGACUACCAGAUAUUGAGCUGCUAGGAGGGCAAAAAGUGAAAAAGAGGAGGAUGCCUUAACAUAAUACAAUCCAGAAUCACACGACAAAAUAAAAGUUUACCAGAUAAAAGCGAGCUAUCUCUUAUUUAGAGAUGUUUAAAUACUGUCAUACCCGUGCAAUGUAAUGUGUUUCUUGGAUCUUUAGAGGAUUAAAAAUUGAAUUCUUUCUUGAAAACACCGUUGUCUUCGAACGUUUGGCUGGUUGUCAUCUAUUUGAGGCCCACGAAGCAGGCUCAUUCCACAACGGGUGCUUGACACCACCCUCUCAGAGGCUGGCGCUUGGGUGCGCUGUGUAAGAUACAUUUUUAGAUGUUUCUGCCAGGCUCGUUAAAAAUAUUUUUCACAAAAUCUUGAAGCCGUAUUCAGUGCUUUCCUCAUUCGGGUGCUUCUUCUAGCAUAUUAAUUCAAUCUUAGACAUCCAGGGCUUAAGUCGAACACAUUUCAAGGCACCUGAGAGAGAGACAUAGGCGAAUUAAUAAAUUAGGAAAACAAACUGACGGUGAAAGUGCAAAAAUGCGCAUCCCGGUCGCAGUGUUUCAAAAUCUCCGAUCCAAUUUCAGGUUUUAGAAGGUAUGACCAAACCAACAUUUUGAGUUGAAUUUUUUAUGGAAUAUUCUUUACAUAGAGAAGAAAAUUCACCGACAUUUUCUAGAAAUGGCGUUCAGUAGUUUUCUGUGCAAAAAUGAAGUAAGUCAGGAAGUCUGCAACAUCGCAAACCGAGAUACGCAUUUCUGCAAUUUCUCCUUGUCAAAUGUCCCCAUCAUGAUGGAAAAUCAGAUUUUCCGCGCUUGAUUUUUCGGUGAAAAUAACAUUCUAUCCAUUGCAUG